RNAcentral lists this ribosomal RNA (252 nucleotides) under uncultured bacterium. RNAcentral's name for it is "partial 16S ribosomal RNA". It matches the Rfam family "Bacterial small subunit ribosomal RNA", at positions 524 to 775 of the family's 1533-position model. The record is from RNAcentral.
UACGAAGGGGGCUAGCGUUGUUCGGAUUUACUGGGCGUAAAGCGCACGUAGGCGGAUCUUUAAGUCAGAGGUGAAAUCCCAAGGCUCAACCUUGGAACUGCCUUUGAUACUGGGGAUCUCGAGUCCGGGAGAGGUGAGUGGAACUGCGAGUGUAGAGGUGAAAUUCGUAGAUAUUCGCAAGAACACCAGUGGCGAAGGCGGCUCACUGGCCCGGUACUGACGCUGAGGUGCGAAAGCGUGGGGAGCAACAGG